This 252-nucleotide ribosomal RNA is filed under the name uncultured bacterium. RNAcentral describes it as "partial 16S ribosomal RNA". It matches the Rfam family "Bacterial small subunit ribosomal RNA", at positions 525 to 776 of the family's 1533-position model. The record is from RNAcentral.
ACGGAGGGGGCUAGCGUUGUUCGGAAUUACUGGGCGUAAAGCGCGCGUAGGCGGUUUAUCUAGUCAGGCGUGAAAUCCCCGGGCUUAACCUGGGAACUGCGUUUGAUACUGAUAGACUAGAGGACGGGAGAGGGUAGUGGAAUUCCCAGUGUAGAGGUGAAAUUCGUAGAUAUUGGGAAGAACACCAGUGGCGAAGGCGGCUACCUGGACCGUACCUGACGCUGAGGUGCGAAAGCGUGGGGAGCAAACAGG